CAAAAGAAAGGCAGUGUCCUACGGUCCGCGCAGUAGUUACGUUGGGGACCGAGGAGACGGCAUCGCGGUAUCGGUAAAAGCGCUUCCGCUCUCUCCCUCGCUCUUCUUCUUGUCCGCUGGGCAGCGCGGUACCUCAAGGAUUACGUCGGUUAGGCGUCUAGAUGCUUAAAACUCCUCCAGCCUCUCUCGUACCACAGCCUUCCAAGCGGCCGUCAACCCUGUUCCGCUUGCCGCCACCUCCACCGCGACGUGCUGCCUUAUCAAAACUCGCCCCUGUUCGCCGAGACGGGCAGCAGUCCUCGCCAUUACAACUCACCGGUUCCUGUUUAGACGUCGCCAUGCGGCCGCCGCCGAUACUCGCCGCUUCUUACUUAUACGUCACGCCACGUUCGUCGUCGCCACUCUUUCCUCUCGAGCGGAGGGUGUAGACUCGACAGGUGCCCGAGGACCAACCUUAUUCUCCAACGCCUAACCACGACGACCGGGGUCGUUCCGCGGAACGCGAUGGGCAUAACAAGCGGCUUUUCGGCUGCCUAUUACAUUAGUGACGUCACGACCCAUGAUGGAAACUGAGCGAACCUAUUCGUAUGCUAAAGAUGUCGAACAUAAGGACCCUCUUUCCUAAACUAUAUUCUAUACCAUUUUCGGCCGAUUUACACCUCUCCUACUUCACGUACGUCCUUUAACAAACGCCUACAAACCUUUUCGAUCACACCUCUUGUGUUCCAGGACAGUCACACUUACGGCUCGCAAUUAUUCCGACAAUACCUAUCUCCUGUUACCAACCAUAUAGCGUCUCGUAGCUCUCUCGGUAUUGGUGAGCGAAAGCGGUUUAAAGCCACUCUGUUAAGUGACCAGUAGGGUGUUCGUGAAACUACACAUGUCGUCCCUAAACUCUUUCGUAAACGCCGUCUUAUUACAGUUGGAUCGAUUCCACAUAUCGUAUCAUCCGUAUAAAAAACCUAGCUACUUUUUACACGGUAAAUGCUUCUCCAGAAACACAUUAGAAACGCCGGUCUAAUCGUCCCUUGUUAGUCUACUAUUACAUUCCUUUUGUUACCUCCAAAAACGUCUUUAACCCCGUUUCCUGGGAGUAAAGUUUAUGUCUCAAGUCGGACUGUUUCUCCCGCCCUAGUUCUUGGAAUACACCCGUUCGCCCUCGUUAUCCAACGUCAUGUGUAAAAGGCCAUCACGUAAUUGUAAACUGUGUUGGAUGUACUGUUUAAACAUACUGUACGGAAAGUCUGAUAAACAACCACACUUGUUGGUAAAAGUCUCUCACUAGGGCCGACCUAACUAACACACACCGCUUUGACAGCUCUCAAAGUUUACCCAAAAGAGACUUAAAGAGUCUUAGUACCCACCGCGACGUGGUUUUUUGAUAUGAAUGACUGGUCUUAGCCCGAUACCUUCACCGCAAGUUCUUGUAUUACGGUCUAUGAUACGUGACGACCACAUUCACCGUGCACGAUUUAUUUCAGUUUCUUAGCAACCCGGAGACGUGUGGUUCUUCUCACUUAAGACUCGUCUCAAGGCGUUUUCACCACUUAGUGUACGACUGCCACCCACUUAAACUCUUUCUGACCCUUAACAACGAACGAUUUAUGUACUACUCCAGCGUAGGUAUAUACUGCUUGGAUAAACUCUAGUCCCUCUUUUACCCGCUUCGGCAUAAACUUUCCUCACAAAACACGGUUCUAUCGCUCGUGCGUUUCAUCACUUUCACGCUUGGUAUACAAUUUCUUAAUACAGGGAGGUCCUACAGGUUACGAAUACAAAGAAAUCUUCAUAUACUCCGAUGAGAAACUGUCACUUCGCCUUCUCUUGAUACUUCUCUUCGCUUGUUCUUAACCCUCCGGAAACAAUUCUCGUUUGAACCGUCAACUUUCUGUACGACCUUUCUAUAUAUGUUCCCGGUACAAACUCCUUAAACCCGUAUAUAACAUACUCACAGCUCAAUUGGUUCACCUUCUUUAACUCUUUGUAUUCGACAUACAACGUUAAGUGUAACUCCGACUGUUUUCUCUCUUCACCACGUCCCACAGUAUACUCCAUUUUCAACGAUCUGCCUCCAGUGCUUAAACUUACACUUACGCCCGUCAAACUUGUGUACCCCGACGACACGUCGGUACACAACUUCCAGGAUCUGAAGUAGGCUCGAUUUCUUUAGGGUCAAUUCGUAUGUCAUUUUUCCACCUCUUUCCUACGAACUCUAUAUGACGGAUUCCUGGAACACGUUAUAGUCUUUCUUCUGUACGUAUUUUUAGGUAAGAGUAUGUCUGUGAAGUGGUAUAUAUACGUACGCUACCUUGAUCGGGCGGACCCGCUAUGUUCACACCUCCGUAUGUUGGCAAACUACCCCGAUAAGUUUCGUUUGGACCGUCUCUACAACGGUCUACGGCUUCCCUCUCUACCGGAACCAGAGCUCCUAUCCGAACGACUAUUCCCUCCACGACACUUAGUCUACCGUAGCAGGUACCGCCGGCUUCAUCACUUGUUAUCACCAGUCAUACGGCCUUCGUUCCGGCCUAUUCUUGUUGAACGGGUCUGGCUCCUCUACAUGGUUUCGUCGGCUCCUUCGGCCGAUCCAUAUUCUUAACGCCUCACCUCCCAGCGGUCUCCUUAUUAACAUUUUCCGUUAACUAGAAUCCAAUCAUCCACCUUACAUCAACGACCGACUAGUUUGAUUACUUAAUAGACAACUGUACAAGAGGUAUUACCAAGUCACAAAGCUACAAGUACACAACCCCACAUUCGAGCUAUGAAACCAUUACGACCACCUUGACUUUGUUCACGACAUACUACCCACUUUGUACGUUUUAGACACAUGUAAUCGACCUUCCGUCAGACAUUAAAGGGAACAAUAAGAGAACCAAGUACUGUACAC
RNAcentral lists this ribosomal RNA (2887 nucleotides) under Triticum aestivum (bread wheat). RNAcentral describes it as "partial small subunit ribosomal RNA". The record is from RNAcentral. Lineage: Eukaryota; Viridiplantae; Streptophyta; Magnoliopsida; Poales; Poaceae.